This 950-nucleotide ribosomal RNA is filed under the name Staphylococcus epidermidis. RNAcentral describes it as "bacterial SSU rRNA". It matches the Rfam family "Bacterial small subunit ribosomal RNA", at positions 104 to 1025 of the family's 1533-position model. The record is from RNAcentral. Lineage: Bacteria; Bacillati; Bacillota; Bacilli; Caryophanales; Staphylococcaceae.
GGGUGAGUAACACGUGGAUAACCUACCUAUAAGACUGGGAUAACUUCGGGAAACCGGAGCUAAUACCGGAUAAUAUAUUGAACCGCAUGGUUCAAUAGUGAAAGACGGUUUUGCUGUCACUUAUAGAUGGAUCCGCGCCGCAUUAGCUAGUUGGUAAGGUAACGGCUUACCAAGGCAACGAUGCGUAGCCGACCUGAGAGGGUGAUCGGCCACACUGGAACUGAGACACGGUCCAGACUCCUACGGGAGGCAGCAGUAGGGAAUCUUCCGCAAUGGGCGAAAGCCUGACGGAGCAACGCCGCGUGAGUGAUGAAGGUCUUCGGAUCGUAAAACUCUGUUAUUAGGGAAGAACAAAUGUGUAAGUAACUAUGCACGUCUUGACGGUACCUAAUCAGAAAGCCACGGCUAACUACGUGCCAGCAGCCGCGGUAAUACGUAGGUGGCAAGCGUUAUCCGGAAUUAUUGGGCGUAAAGCGCGCGUAGGCGGUUUUUUAAGUCUGAUGUGAAAGCCCACGGCUCAACCGUGGAGGGUCAUUGGAAACUGGAAAACUUGAGUGCAGAAGAGGAAAGUGGAAUUCCAUGUGUAGCGGUGAAAUGCGCAGAGAUAUGGAGGAACACCAGUGGCGAAGCGACUUUCUGGUCUGUAACUGACGCUGAUGUGCGAAAGCGUGGGGAUCAAACAGGAUUAGAUACCCUGGUAGUCCACGCCGUAAACGAUGAGUGCUAAGUGUUAAGGGGGUUUCCGCCCCUUAGUGCUGCAGCUAACGCAUUAAACACUCCGGCCUGGGGGAGUACGACCCGCAUGGUUGAACCUCGAAGGGAGUUGAGCGGGGACCCCGCACAAGCGGUUGAGCAUGUGGUUUAAUUUCAAACCAACGCGAAUAUCCCUAAUCUAGUCCUGGUCCUCCAUCUGACCGCCUCUAAAGAAAUAGUUUUCCCCCUUCGCAGGG